GACGAACGCUGGCGGCGUGCUUAACACAUGCAAGUCGAACGGAAAGCCCUGCUUUUGUGGGGUGCUCGAGUGGCGAACGGGUGAGUAACACGUGAGUAACCUGCCCUUGACUUUGGGAUAACUUCAGGAAACUGGGGCUAAUACCGGAUAGGAGCUCCUGCUGCAUGGUGGGGGUUGGAAAGUUUCGGCGGUUGGGGAUGGACUCGCGGCUUAUCAGCUUGUUGGUGGGGUAGUGGCUUACCAAGGCUUUGACGGGUAGCCGGCCUGAGAGGGUGACCGGCCACAUUGGGACUGAGAUACGGCCCAGACUCCUACGGGAGGCAGAAGUGGGGAAUAUUGCACAAUGGGCGGAAGCCUGAUGCAGCAACGCCGCGUGCGGGAUGACGGCCUUCGGGUUGUAAACCGCUUUCGCCUGUGACGAAGCGUGAGUGACGGUAAUGGGUAAAGAAGCACCGGCUAACUACGUG
Molecule: ribosomal RNA, 467 nt
Filed under: uncultured bacterium
Lineage: Bacteria
Description: partial 16S ribosomal RNA
Rfam family: Bacterial small subunit ribosomal RNA
Source: RNAcentral